GCCCGCGUAGCUCAGUUGGCGGAGCAUUGGGCUAGUAUUCCAAUUAAGGUCGUAGGUUCGCUUCCCACCGUGGCCA
Molecule: transfer RNA, 76 nt
Filed under: Paramuricea clavata
Lineage: Eukaryota; Metazoa; Cnidaria; Anthozoa; Malacalcyonacea; Plexauridae
Rfam family: tRNA
About the family: Transfer RNA (tRNA) molecules are approximately 80 nucleotides in length. Their secondary structure includes four short double-helical elements and three loops (D, anti-codon, and T loops).
Source: Rfam by way of RNAcentral